This 1558-nucleotide ribosomal RNA is filed under the name uncultured prokaryote. RNAcentral's name for it is "partial 16S ribosomal RNA". It matches the Rfam family "Bacterial small subunit ribosomal RNA". The record is from RNAcentral.
GAGUUUGAUCCUGGCUCAGAACGAACGCUGGCGGCGUGCCUAACACAUGCAAGUCGAGCGAGAAAGUUUCCUUCGGGAAGCGAGUAAAGCGGCGCACGGGUGAGUAAUACGUAGGCAACCUGCCCUCGAGACUGGGACAACUUGUCGAAAGACGGGCUAAUACCAGAUAAGACCACGAGAGCUGAGGCUCUGGGGUAAAAUGAUGGCCUCUGCUUGCAAGCUAUCGCUCCGGGAUGGGCCUGCGCGCCAUUAGCUUGUUGGUGAGGUAACGGCUCACCAAGGCUUAGAUGGCUAGCUGGUCUGAGAGGAUGACCAGCCACACUGGGACUGAGACACGGCCCAGACUCCUACGGGAGGCAGCAGUGGGGAAUAUUGCGCAAUGGGCGAAAGCCUGACGCAGCGACGCCGCGUGGGUGAUGAAGGCCUUCGGGUCGUAAAGCCCUGUCGGGAGGGACGAAAUCUCGUCGACCUAAUACGUCGGCGACUUGACGGUACCUUCAAAGGAAGCACCGGCUAACUCCGUGCCAGCAGCCGCGGUAAUACGGAGGGUGCAAGCGUUGUUCGGAAUUACUGGGCGUAAAGCGCGUGUAGGCGGCCUUUUUAGUCUGGUGUGAAAGCCCGGGGCUCACCCCCGGAAGUGCAUUGGAUAUGGCGGACUAGAGUACGGGAGAGGGAGGUGGAAUUCCUGGUGUAGCGGUGAAAUGCGUAGAUAUCAGGAGGAACACCGGUGGCGAAGGCGGCCUCCUGGACCGAUACUGACGCUGAGACGCGAAAGCGUGGGGAGCAAACAGGAUUAGAUACCCUGGUAGUCCACGCGGUAAACGAUGGGCACUAGGUGUUCGGGGUAUCCACUCCCCGAGUGCCGCAGCUAACGCAUUAAGUGCCCCGCCUGGGGAGUACGGCCGCAAGGUUAAAACUCAAAGGAAUUGACGGGGGCCCGCACAAGCGGUGGAGCAUGUGGUUUAAUUUCGAUGCAACCCGAAGAACCUUACCUGGGCUUGACAUUAUGGGAAACAGCCGUCAGAGAUGACGGUGUGCGCUAAGCGGACUCCUGGACACAGGUGCUGCAUGGCUGUUGUCAGCUCGUGUCGUGAGAUGUUGGGUUAAGUCCCGCAACGAGCGCAACCCUCGCCUCUAUGUUGCCAGCGGAUAAUGCCGUUGAGGACUCAUAGAGGAGACCGCCCGAGGUACAACUCGGAGGAAGGCGGGGAUCGAUGUCAAGUCAUCAUGCCCCUUAUAUCCAGGGCUGCACGCAUGCUACAAUGGGCGGUACAGUGGGCCGCGAUCUCGCAAGAGUGAGCCAAUCCCUCAAAGCCGUCCCCAGUUCGGAUUGAAGUCUGCAACUCGACUUCAUGAAGCCGGAGUCGCUAGUAAUCGUGGAUCAGCUAUGCCACGGUGAAUACGUUCUCGGGGCUUGUACACACCGCCCGUCACAUCACGGAAGUCGGUAACACCCGAAGUCAGUGGCCUAACCCCUCGGGGAAGGAGCUGCCUAAGGUGGGAUUGGUAACUGGGAUGAAGUCGUAACAAGGUAGCCGUACGGGAACGUGCGGCUGGA